RNAcentral lists this long non-coding RNA (289 nucleotides) under Homo sapiens (human). Its description in RNAcentral is "non-protein coding lnc-ZC3H12B-20:1". The record is from RNAcentral. Lineage: Eukaryota; Metazoa; Chordata; Mammalia; Primates; Hominidae.
AGUGGCGUGGCUACACCGUGGCCUCAAGGAGCCAGUCCUGCCCGGAUGGGGCUCGCCGGAUCGGUUUCGGUUUUCACGCACUCCCAUUUCUGUGGCCGCUGUGCAUUCGCGGUACUGUGCCCUGGCCGCCACCAGGACGUUUAUUCCUGAGCUAGAGGCCGGCGGGGAGUAACGAGGCAGAGAGGUUGAGGAAUCUGGGAAGACUGCAGAAACCUAAGGGCCGGCCUAUCCUUAGUCGUAGAGACAAGGCCCUGCGGAUCGCGCCGCCAGGCCACCCAGAGGAGGGACU